This 513-nucleotide ribosomal RNA is filed under the name uncultured bacterium. Its description in RNAcentral is "bacterial SSU rRNA". It matches the Rfam family "Bacterial small subunit ribosomal RNA", at positions 15 to 518 of the family's 1533-position model. The record is from RNAcentral.
GAUCCUGGCUUAGGAUGAACGCUAGCUACAGGCUUAACACAUGCAAGUCGAGGGGCAGCAUGCAGGAAGCUUGCUUUCUGUGAUGGCGACCGGCGCACGGGUGCGUAACGCGUAUCCAAUCUACCCUGCACACGGGAAUAGCCCUGCGAAAGUAGGAUUAAUGCCCGAUGUUCUUUUUUGUUGCAUGACAGAGAAAGCAAAGAUUUAUCGGUACAGGAUGAGGAUGCGUCCCAUUAGGCAGUAGGCGGGGUAACGGCCCACCUAACCUACGAUGGGUAGGGGUUCUGAGAGGAAGGUCCCCCACAUUGGAACUGAGACACGGUCCAAACUCCUACGGGAGGCAGCAGUGAGGAAUAUUGGUCAAUGGUCGCAAGACUGAACCAGCCAAGUAGCGUGCAAGGAUGACGGCCUUACAGGUUGUAAACUGCUUUUAUGCGGGAUAAAGUGCGGCACGUGCGCCGCUUUGCAGGUACCGCAUGAAUAAGGACCGGCUAAUUCCGUGCCAGCCGCCGC